AAGAGAGACCCCAGGGACAUCAGAGGAAUAUACAAAAAGGGGGCUGGUAGAGUCUACCGAGGAGGAGGUACCAACAGUGGUAUUAGAAGCCAUGAUUAAUGAAUCAGCUUAAAAACAGUGUCGGCAAUCAAAAUAUAACAGAACCAGAUACUCACAUACAGAACCAGAUAAUCACAUACAAAGCAUACAAUAGUCAGAAUAAGGACAAAGUUACCCUCCUUCUUCGCGACCGGAGAAGAUCGGCCUUCAAUCAACAAAGAAAACCCUAGGUCCAACACCGGAAACCCUAGGUUCUGAAACUCACCGGAGUAAGGUCAUAGACGCCGGAGAAUCACUCAAAACGUCCAUCAAGUGAAGAAAAAGUCAUCGGAUAACACCAAAACUCUAGGUCCGAAAGUCGGAAAACCCUAGAAUUUGAAGAACUCGUCGGAAGAAAGUCAGAGAUGUCGGAAAAUCACCCAAAACACCUACUGAUACAGGAUCG
RNAcentral lists this long non-coding RNA (484 nucleotides) under Nicotiana benthamiana. RNAcentral describes it as "long non-coding RNA (NBEN_LNC023450)". Lineage: Eukaryota; Viridiplantae; Streptophyta; Magnoliopsida; Solanales; Solanaceae. The record is from RNAcentral.